UCCCCGUUAUCCUGGGCAGUCUCUCCAGAGUUCCCGGCAUAACCCGGUGGCAACUAAUGGCAAGGGUUGCGCUCGUUGCGGGACUUAACCCAACAUCUCACGGCACGAGCUGACGACAGCCAUGCAGCAUCUGUGCACGCUCUCUUGCGAGUCCCUUUGGUUUCCCAUCAGUACCACGUGCAUGUCAAGCCGAGGUAAGGUUCUGCGCGUUGCAUCGAAUUAAACCACACGCUCCGCUGCUUGUGCGGGCCCCCGUCAAUUCCUUUGAGUUUUAGCCUUGCGGCCGUACUCCCCAGGCGGGGUACUUCCUGCGUUAGCGCCGGCACCCAGAGGGUCGCUCCCCCAGGCACCUAGUACCCAUCGUUUACGGCGUGGACUAC
Molecule: unclassified non-coding RNA, 380 nt
Filed under: uncultured bacterium
Lineage: Bacteria
Description: contains 16S-23S intergenic spacer region
Source: RNAcentral